RNAcentral lists this long non-coding RNA (1494 nucleotides) under Equus caballus (horse). RNAcentral describes it as "lncRNA (ENSECAG00000046123.1)". Lineage: Eukaryota; Metazoa; Chordata; Mammalia; Perissodactyla; Equidae. The record is from RNAcentral.
CACAAACAGAAAACGAUUACGAGGAAUCACUGAGUGUUCUUGUGCAAAGCAAGGACACUACCAAAGUGGUAUUUUACCGGGCUGUCUUGCGGCCUUCAAAGACCAAAUAGCUAAAUUUGUUUUUUGAUCUGCAAAGCCCCAGGUGGUUAGCACAAACGAGCCCGAGCCCGGAAGAGCCUGCAGCCCCAGACUUCGUGGGCGGGGCAGGCAGCUGUCAGUAAUUUCACUGCAGCCCCAGGAGACCACUCUGGGUCAACUCUGCACUUUUUUCAAUCAAAUCUCCUUGCCUCAGAGGGAGACCCCCUGAGGACAGAAAGUAGACCUGGGGCUUCUCUGCCAACCUCGAGGGCUCAGCUAAGCAUGGGAAAGGGGCAGCUGAUGUGUGAUGCUUCAGAGUUGAGGAAAACGUCCCCAUCCUGGCCGGGAGAUGCUGUGCAGCCGUAAGGACAGAGUGGACACGAAUGGAACAAGACCCCUAAACUUGCAGCUCUCUUUGCAGCCUGUGAAGAAGAGUUGCUGGGGAAAGUGGGGCAGACGAGGUCGGCACAGACGGAGACAACCACAGCAUGGAUGCACACCCGGAGCAGAGAAAGGACCUCAGAGCAGGGGUGCCCAGGAACCUCUCUGCACUGCAGAAUCGCCUGCCCAACAUCCUUUCCCCCAUCUUCUUGCUGUUGGGACCCCAAUUCUGGUUGGGGCCACAAAAUGCCCAAUCCUAUUCGAGAUCCUCAUUUUCCUAGUUUCCCUUGCCCCUAGGAAGGGCCAUGAGACAUCCUUCUAGUUGUAAGAUACGGACAGCAGUCUUGUAGGAAUUCUGCAAAAGUGUUUCCUUCUUGAUAAAAAGGAACAAACAUGGCUAACACCGUCACGUUCUAUCUUGCUUCUUCCUUUGAGCACUUACACUACACCAGACUGCAGGAGCCAUCUUGCUCCCGUCUGUCCAAUAGAACUUUCUGCGAUGGUGGAAAUGUUCUACAUCUGCACUGACUCAAGACAGUGGCCAGUAGACACUUGAAAUGCUGCUAGUGUGACUGAGGAAUGGAAUUCUUUUUAGUUUUUAUUUAAUUUGAAUUAAUCUAAGUUUACAUAGCCACAUGCGGCUAGUGGCUCCCUUAUUGGACAGCUAGAACUAGAAGAUUCUAGGAUCUCUGACCCUGAUCGUGAGCCACCCACCUCCAAACUCCUUGUUCUGGAAGAAAAAUAGAUCCCUAAUUUUUAGGUCACUGUCAAUUGAGUUUUCUGGUACCUGCAGCCAAAUGGCUUCUAACUGAUACUACCAGGGACAGGGGCUGGCAGAGCCCCAGGGCUCCCACUGUCCAUGGGACAACAUUCAAGGGAUCAACCUCAUUUUAUUUGCAUCUCAAAGGACAGUUAACAUCAGCUAAUGUCCCAGUUAGAAUAUCCCUAGCAGAAGGGAACCCUGGAACAGAGUCUGCCCCUCCCUCAACCAGAUCCUCCCUUUGGCCAAGACACAAACGUCUAAAACAACCAAGG